This is a long non-coding RNA of Topomyia yanbarensis, 1141 nucleotides long. RefSeq lists it as uncharacterized. Lineage: Eukaryota; Metazoa; Arthropoda; Insecta; Diptera; Culicidae. The record is from RefSeq and is a predicted model, not a curated record. The transcript has 3 exons.
UCCUGUAUAGUAAAUGGAUUCUGGUUGAAACAAAAGAUGCAGCAGAUUAAUGAACGAAAACACCAAAUUGAACGGCAGCAUUGAGAAGAUCCUCAAGGGUUGCUCACGUCGGCGGAUCAAGCAGAAGUACAAAAUCAACAAUAAAGACGGUGCCGGGAAAGGCAGAAUUCCGCUCUACCCAGGUGAAGCAGUCAAGGUACUGAUGGAUUUGAAGUGAACACUGACUGUGAUUCCGAGCAGCUAGGGGUAGGCGACAUCAGAUCAGAUCAGAAUCCAUCACAGAUUAAGUCAUUUGCGACUAAGAACGACUGUCUAAACAACAACCAACAGUAAAUCUAACGGUACUCAUUGAACCAGUCCCCUCUGUACAGGGUGGUAUCCGAGGCUGCCUUAAAAAACAGCAACUUGAUAGCCAAGUUCAUCAUUCAAGUUCGCAACAACCAGAGAUUUUCUCUCAUCUUUAACAAAAUUCAUCUGCGACAAGGAGUAGGUGCAAAUCCCUCUCGUGAGCCUCGUUAUGGUUUAUUUAACUACUACCAAGAGCGACAUGAUAUGUUGGUUCCAAUCAGUACUAGAUUGAUGGAGGUCGGCAGUUACUUGGUGCCCAGAAAUUUCACGAAUGCAGUUUGGUUUACAGUGUCCAUGAAAUGAACCAUAAAAAUAUUCGAUAAUCAAUGCAUAUAAACUAUUUCAAUUUACUACACCUGCACUGAUUCAAUAGUUGGAGAAAUGAGUCUGACAUGUUCCCGGUGGAAUUCGGGUCUCCGGCGACCCCAAUCAAUUGCUCUUGACCGAACCAUUAAGGAAUCUUUUGAUUGAUGCAUGAUGGGUCUCCGACAAAACUGAGCCUGCAGAAAACGAAAAUGAUUCAAUGACCGGUUAUUGGUUAAUUCCCAUACGACCAAAGAUAUGAAAUGUUGGAAUUCUUGAACAUAAACUUUACACAAUCGCUUCUGGAAGUUCGUUUGGGUGUAUGGAAUGUAUGAGUUAAACUAAUAUGCAACUUCGAGAUCGUAAAACCAUAAGACGCAAUGUUCUUUCGCUUUCCUAAUACUUGCGUAGGUUCACAUAGUAUUAGGCCUGCAGAGUUGCUAUGAAAGUACACAAAAUUCUUAACUCCAAACUAAAUUAAGCCAAUAAA